Molecule: ribosomal RNA, 483 nt
Filed under: uncultured Streptococcus sp.
Lineage: Bacteria; Bacillati; Bacillota; Bacilli; Lactobacillales; Streptococcaceae
Description: partial 16S ribosomal RNA
Source: RNAcentral
CACGUAGUUAGCCGUCCCUUUCUGGUAAGAUACCGUCACAGUGUGAACUUUCCACUCUCACACUUCGUUCUUCUCUUACAACAGAGCUUUACGAUCCGAAAACCUUCUUCACUCACGCGGCGUUGCUCGGCCAGACUUCCGUCCAUUGCCGAAGAUUCCCUACUGCUGCCUCCCGUAGGAGUCUGGGCCGUGUCUCAGUCCCAGUGUGGCCGAUCACCCUCUCAGGUCGGCUAUGUAUCGUCGCCUUGGUGAGCCCGUUACCCCACCAACUAGCUAAUACAACGCAGGUCCAUCUGGUAGUGAAUGCAAUUGCAUCUUUUAAGCAAAUGUCAUGCAACAUCUGCUGUUAUGCGUAUUAGCUAUCGUUUCCAAUGUUAUCCCCCGCUACCAGGCAGGUUACCACGCGUUACUCACCCGUUCGCAACUCAUCCAGAGAAGCAAGCUCCUCCUUCAGCGUUCUACUUGCAUGUAUAGGCACGCCGC